RNAcentral lists this ribosomal RNA (468 nucleotides) under uncultured bacterium. RNAcentral describes it as "partial 16S ribosomal RNA". It matches the Rfam family "Bacterial small subunit ribosomal RNA", at positions 28 to 507 of the family's 1533-position model. The record is from RNAcentral.
GAUGAACGCUGGCGGCGUGCUUAACACAUGCAAGUCGAACGGAAAGGCCCAAGCUUGCUUGGGUACUCGAGUGGCGAACGGGUGAGUAACACGUGGGUGAUCUGCCCUGCACUUCGGGAUAAGCCUGGGAAACUGGGUCUAAUACCGGAUAGGACGAUGGUUUGGAUGCCAUUGUGGAAAGUUUUUUCGGUGUGGGAUGAGCUCGCGGCCUAUCAGCUUGUUGGUGGGGUAAUGGCCUACCAAGGCGUCGACGGGUAGCCGGCCUGAGAGGGUGUACGGCCACAUUGGGACUGAGAUACGGCCCAGACUCCUACGGGAGGCAGCAGUGGGGAAUAUUGCACAAUGGGCGCAAGCCUGAUGCAGCGACGCCGCGUGGGGGAUGACGGCCUUCGGGUUGUAAACUCCUGUCGCUAGGGACGAAGCGUUUUUGUGACGGUACCUGGAGAAGAAGCACCGGCUAACUACGUG